CGGUUAAUGCUGUACACAAUUCGUUAACCUCUUUCGGAUGAAAUAAGUUACUGAUUGGAAAUAAUACUUGCUCUUUAUUAAAAUAACGAUA
Molecule: small RNA, 91 nt
Filed under: Staphylococcus aureus
Lineage: Bacteria; Bacillati; Bacillota; Bacilli; Caryophanales; Staphylococcaceae
Description: Antisense
Source: RNAcentral